Molecule: ribosomal RNA, 497 nt
Filed under: uncultured bacterium
Lineage: Bacteria
Description: partial 16S ribosomal RNA
Rfam family: Bacterial small subunit ribosomal RNA
Source: RNAcentral
GAUGAACGCUGGCGGCGUGCCUAAUACAUGCAAGUCGAGCGAACGGACGAGAAGCUUGCUUCUCUGAUGUUAGCGGCGGACGGGUGAGUAACACGUGGAUAACCUACCUAUAAGACUGGGAUAACUUCGGGAGACCGGAGCUAAUACCGGAUGAUAUUUUGAACCGCAUGGUUCAAAAGUGAAAGACGGUCUUGCUGUCACUUAUAGAUGGAUCCGCGCUGCAUUAGCUAGUUGGUAAGGUAACGGCUUACCAAGGCAACGAUGCAUAGCCGACCUGAGAGGGUGAUCGGCCACACUGGAACUGAGACACGGUCCAGACUCCUACGGGAGGCAGCAGUAGGGAAUCUUCCGCAAUGGGCGAAAGCCUGACGGAGCAACGCCGCGUGAGUGAUGAAGGUCUUCGGAUCGCAAAACUCUGUUAUUAGGGAAGAACAUAUGUGUAAGUAACUGUGCACAUCUUGACGGUACCUAAUCAGAAAGCCACGGCUAACUACGUG